CUGCAGAAAUGUCACCUCCUCGGGGGCAGCUUUCCUGACUGCUCAGAGACAAAGCCUUCGACCCAGUCUGUCCCAUGUCCGACCAUGGCUUUAUUAUUCUUCUGAAGGGUCUCCUGACCUGUGAAACAACACAUCUCGGCAGUGCUCACUCAUGAUGAAGGCUCGUUGUGCUCUCUCAUGGCUUCAUUUGAAGCCCGUGGCCUACACUAUCUCAUCACGAUGCCAACAAGGGCUUCCUGGAUCACGGUAGGACACCCUUGAAGAAACACACAUGUUUCUUUCUCCCUGAGUAUUCCUCCUUGGGCCGUCCUGCUGACUCUGAAGCCAUUCUACUCCCCCGGGACUCCACUGAGAGGAUCCUAGCCCGGUGCGUUCACCUGUCAUUCCCAGAGAAACUGAGGCAGCUGAGAAACAGGAGCUCAGCCUGAAGCGCGGCUCCCACUCGCUCCCCUGCACGUCACGGCGCGCCCCCCACCGGCAAGAUUCGAUGGUUUCCGCGGUACCUCGCUGGGCACCCCUGAUUGGCAGGCUCCGCCUUCUGGCAGGGCCCCUCUGAUUGGUCGACUCGGCCUCCCCCAUCUGACAGAGACUCUUUGAUUGGCGGACCGUUGCCCCAGCACCAGAGGUCAGGAGACUGGGUCUCCAGCUCUGGGAAAAGCCCACUCGCUUUGCCCCGCCCCAGCUGUGUGGCCUGGGGCAAGUCGGCUUCCGACCUCAGUUUCCCCACUAGGUAGGUUGGUCGAGCCAGGAAACAUGCUAGCACAGGGGGCGUGCCUGCCCACCUAGCCCAGCCCUACGGGCGCCAGUGUGAGUGCAGGUUGGGUGUCGGGAAGAGCGGUUCCCCUCACCUACCCCUCCCACUUCCCUAAGAGCGCAAGGUGGGCGUCUGGCGCCCUCUGGCGGGCAGUCAUCUUGGGGCGGACGGCUUGGAAGGCAGGUGAACUCCGGGAACAAUUUCCUUUGGGGGUUGGCCCCAAACCACGCGGGCGGAAGCCUCUUUCUAGCAGGGGCCAGAGGCGUGAACCGAGGAAGACACCGUCGAGGAAGGGAUGGGGAAAGCUAGGACAGAUCUAGUUGUGAGAAGCUGGGCCCAUUGAUAACUUCCACCCCACCCUUAAAUUUGAUUUGAUUAAGCGCUCUCCAGCCAUUAGCCACAUAUCUUCAGGCCACAAGCCAGGCAGUCUCAUCAAUCCUCCCACGCCCCUUGAUUAAAACAACUAUUUAUUAAGCACUAUGUGCAGGAUAACACGGGGGCUGCUGGCUGAGACCACCCAACCCUUCCCUCCCUGCAACAGUCUUUCGCAAAAGCCAGGCUAGUGGUCAGGAGAGGCAGGAGACCCCUGGAGCCCGUGUGCGUGCGGCAAGCAGGCAUUGAAGCAUGGCUAAGUGAGGGAGAGGGGUCCAACCAGCUGGGGUAGGAUCUCUGGAAGGUUCCUCAGAGAGGGCUAGGCAGGACUCAGGAUCUUCUUGCCCCACCCCCACCGCAUCCCCGGGAAGAUUCUGAAUUUCCAAGUUCUCAGUAAAGACCAAGUAAAUUUUACUUCAGGGAGGAAAUUGCCAACCUGGCAAUUUUGUUAAGUGCCCCGUCCGUUCUCAGAGGAUGCAAGGCAGGUCUGACCACCAGAGGGGAGCAGCGACCGCUCGUGAGAGCUUACAAAAAAGCCUAUAGCUGGGAAAAGGAGGUAAGGCCCCCCUAGUUCCACGCUAUUAUGUGAAAGUCCCAAGCUUUAGGCAGCCGGUCAGAGAGCCACCUGCUAGGUCAAGCACCCCCCCCCCCAAACACACACACACAAAUUUACAGCAACUCAUUCAUUCCUUUUUUACCUCUCAAGUUUAUUGAGAGGCAAUUGUGUUCCUGCCUGGAGGGAGCUGUCUUAGGGGAAGCAGUCUCUUUAAGGGGUCUGGGAGAUGUCAACGCUUUAGAGACCAGACCCCUGUAGGGCUCAGCGAAGGCUGAGCCUAAGCGUGGCAGUGUUGGGAGGGCAGACCAACGGGAGCAAGAUGGGUACCCUGGACAAAUGAACGGUGGCUGGAAAACCCCAUCAGAUUCUGCAGUGCCUGGGGAGUGAGGAGGGAGGCCAGACAUGGUUGUCGAGGUAACCGGGGUUAGAUCAUGGAGGGCCUUGCUGCCAGGCUCAAGGGGCAGGGGGAGGGGUGUCAGACAGGAGACUCCUGAACAGGAGCCCAGCCAAAGCCAGGCCCUCAAGCUCUCUCUGGUGACCAGGGAGGAGCUGGGAUUGGCUGGUGAGGCAGGACUGGGGGUCAUCUUUCCACAGUGGCAGCUUGAGGCUGGCAGGAAAGGACCAGGUUACUAUCACUCGGGGAGACGGAGGCUGGAAGAAGCCUUUGAGUGAGGGGAAGACCACUUACCUUUGCAGCCAGCCCUGGACCUGACCCUGAAUCAGGGCCCCUGAAGCCUGGGGAGAGACAGGAAGGGAAGGAGAGGAGGGGCUAGGGGCAGAAUGCGCUUAGGAGGGUCAUCCCACUCUGAGCAAACUGUCACCUGGGAGUUAAUCACACCUCCUGACUUUCCUCAAAAUCCUCAGACCUCGGUUUCUAUUUUCUCCACCUGAGAAACAGGGCUACAGUCCCAACUGAGGCAGAUCAAAUGGCUUCCACAAUACAGAGGGGCAGGGGGAGGAGGAGAGGAAGAGCGAGACUUCCCGGGCCAGCCUGCAGCAAGGCACAACAGCUGACGCUGGCCCCAGACCGCCUGCCCACCCCCUGCCUGGCCAAAGGGCUGGCAGCACCCCAGCCCCACCCAGCCUGGAGUGUGUUUCAGCUGGACCCAGCUCCAGUGGUGGUGUAGGGGCUGGAUCUGUACCUAAAAAUACCCAGGAGCCAGGCCAGCUGCCGAGAGCUUCCUCAGAGGCAGCUGGGCCAGACCCGGCCAGCUGAGGAGCUGGGCAGGCGCACCCGCAUGGGGGAACCCUGCUCCCUUACCUGUGACAUGUUCUGAGGGGCCCAAGUCAUUCACCUUCUAUUCACCGGGAAUUCCUGGAGAGGUUUAGGAGAGCAAGAAAGAUUCUUUAAGUUGGUUCUUGCCAUAGAGCUGAUGGGCACAGAACAGAAGCUAGGGGAGCAGGCCGGCUGAGCUCAGGAGAGAAUAAGGGCCAGAUCCACUUGUCUUGUCAGGGCAAAGUCGGGCCAGCACAGGACAGGAUGGGGAAGUUAAUGACAAUUCUUACAGCCUCCACUUCCCUGGCACUUCUGCACAUCCUGAGAGUUCACCUCACACCCGAAGGGUCAUCCACCCCAGAUGAGGCAGAAAAAACUGAGCUAUUCUUUGACGUCCCAGAGAUGGGAGGUGGCCAGGAAUGGCCUGGGAGCCCAGGACUCUGUCCAGGUCGCAGCACUUGGUGGCGCUGGUGGGGAGGUCACACUGGAACACAAAAAGCUCCCCUCACAAAGCCAGAAUUAAAAACAUCUCAAAAAGUCA
Long non-coding RNA from Leopardus geoffroyi (Geoffroy's cat), 3439 nucleotides. RefSeq lists it as uncharacterized. NCBI's taxonomy places the organism in Eukaryota, Metazoa, Chordata, Mammalia, Carnivora, Felidae. The record is from RefSeq and is a predicted model, not a curated record. The transcript is spliced from 4 exons.